RNAcentral lists this ribosomal RNA (253 nucleotides) under uncultured bacterium. Its description in RNAcentral is "partial 16S ribosomal RNA". It matches the Rfam family "Bacterial small subunit ribosomal RNA", at positions 524 to 776 of the family's 1533-position model. The record is from RNAcentral.
UACGAAGGGGGCUAGCGUUGCUCGGAAUCACUGGGCGUAAAGCGCACGUAGGCGGAUCGUUAAGUCAGGGGUGAAAUCCUGGAGCUCAACUCCAGAACUGCCUUUGAUACUGGCGAUCUUGAGUUCGGGAGAGGUGAGUGGAACUGCGAGUGUAGAGGUGAAAUUCGUAGAUAUUCGCAAGAACACCAGUGGCGAAGGCGGCUAUCUGGACGGUUUCUGACACUAAGACUCGAAAGCGUGGGGAGCAAACAGG